UACGGGGGGGAGCAAGCGUUGUUCGGAUUUACUGGGCGUAAAGGGCGCGUAGGCGGCGUGACAAGUCACUUGUGAAAUCUCCGGGCUUAACUCGGAACGGUCAAGUGAUACUGUCGUGCUAGAGUACAGAAGGGGCAACUGGAAUUCUCGGUGUAGCGGUGAAAUGCGUAGAUAUCGGGAAGAACACCCGUGGCGAAGGCGGUUCUCUGGGACGGUACUGACGCUGAGACGCGAAAGCGUGGGGAGCGAACAGG
RNAcentral lists this ribosomal RNA (254 nucleotides) under uncultured bacterium. RNAcentral's name for it is "partial 16S ribosomal RNA". It matches the Rfam family "Bacterial small subunit ribosomal RNA", at positions 524 to 776 of the family's 1533-position model. The record is from RNAcentral.